Molecule: ribosomal RNA, 135 nt
Filed under: uncultured eukaryote
Lineage: Eukaryota
Description: partial 18S ribosomal RNA
Rfam family: Eukaryotic small subunit ribosomal RNA
Source: RNAcentral
UGGUGGAGUGAUUUGUCUGGUUGAUUCCGUUAACGAACGAGACCUUUUCUUCCAAAUUGCUACAGAUAUGUUAAUAGUUUGUAGUAACUCGGAGAACAACAUGUGGAAAGCAUGGGGAAGAGAAAGGCGAAAACA